Herpailurus yagouaroundi (jaguarundi) is the source of this 956-nucleotide long non-coding RNA. RefSeq lists it as uncharacterized. The transcript has 5 exons. NCBI's taxonomy places the organism in Eukaryota, Metazoa, Chordata, Mammalia, Carnivora, Felidae. The record is from RefSeq and is a predicted model, not a curated record.
AUGGGUCAUAAGAGUCCUCUGCUGGCUAUGGCUCAGGUGACUUGAGGGCAGUUUGCUGGGGAGAGUUCAGCAAACCACUGAGAGAAAUCUACUAGAAACAGUCUGACAAUAAAUUAAGGGAAAAUUCAAUGGCAACAUUCCAAAAGCUAUAAAAGCAACCCGCUAAAAAUUAGAGGCUUGCAUGGAUCCAUAAGGAGAAUUCUUGGCAGUCUGUGUGAGUGCACUUGCAAGUGGGAGAAGGGCAGAAAGAGGAAGACAGAGGAUCCAAAGCUGGCUCCAUGCUGACAGCAGAGAGCUUGAUGUGGGGCUGGAACUCACAGAAUUGCAAGAUCUGAGCCGAAUCCUGAUGCUUAACUGACUGAGUCACCCUGGCGCCCCAACCUAUACUUUUUGUUCUGUUUCUUUCAUUCUGUCUUUCUUACUCAGGGGUGCUGCAAGAACUGAACAUUUCAUUGGAUCUGGGAGCAGAAUGGCUUGCACCUUGCUUCUUGAAAGAAACCAAUGAUGAUGAUGGCAAGACCCUGGGGAUGAAAUGCUUUCAUGGUGUGUCUAGUGAAUGAAAUAAGAAGGAAUUUGUUCUCCGCGGGGGAAAACACCUCAGCUGAAAAAGACAAGACACUAACAGAAGUAUAAAAUCUUCAAAGCUUCUCUUCACAAUAUGACAGAACAUGAUCGGUUUGUGAUGGUCAAGGUGUUCCGUAAAGAUCGAUUUUCCAUUGCCGUUGUCAUGUGGGCAAUCAGCAAAGCAAGAACGAAUGAAUGAGUAAGAUGCCUUCGAGUCAAUUUACAGUAUCCUGAGCAAUCCCAGUAAUAACCAUAGAGGUCAUAAAAUAAGAGAAGCAGGAAAGAUUAUCUACAAAUCUUUAGCUGAAAGGCAACUAUUUUCUUAUUCAUUUUGUUAAAUGAUGUACUUUGGUAUUUGUUUCUCGUAAUUAAACAGCAAAUGCUGUAUUUUA